RNAcentral lists this ribosomal RNA (899 nucleotides) under uncultured archaeon. RNAcentral's name for it is "bacterial SSU rRNA". It matches the Rfam family "Archaeal small subunit ribosomal RNA", at positions 1 to 878 of the family's 1478-position model. The record is from RNAcentral.
CUCCGGUUGAUCCUGCCGGACCCGACUGCUAUCGGAUUGAGAUUUAGCCAUGCGAGUCGAACGUUCCCCUGUUGCGGGGAGCGUGGCGUACGGCUCAGUAACACGUAGUCAACCUGCCCUGGAGACAAGGACAACCCCGGGAAACUGGGAUUAAUCCUUGAUAGGUCAUCUCAUCUGGAAGGAGAGAUGGCUUAAAGGGGUACGCGGGCUUCUUCCGCGAAUUCGCUCCAGGAUGGGACUGCGUCCGAUCAGGCUGUUGGCGGGGUAAUGGCCCACCAAACCUGUAACCGGUACGGGCCUUGAGAGAGGUGGCCCGGAGAUGGACACUGAGAGAAGGGUCCAGGUCCUACGGGGCGCAGCAGGCGCGAAACCUUCGCAAUGCGCGAAAGCGUGACGAGGUUAAUCCGAGUGACUCCCGCUGAGGGGGUCUUUUGUCAGCUGUAAAUAGGCAGGCGAAUAAGGGGAGGGCAAGCCUGGUGUCAGCCGCCGCGGUAAUACCAGCUCCUCGAGUGGUCGGGGCGAUUAUUGGGCCUAAAGCAUCCGUAGCCGGUUCCGUAGGUCCUCUGUUAAAUCCAACCGCUCAACGGUUGACCUGCAGAGGAUACCGCGGGACUAGGAGGCGGGAGAGGCGGACGGUACUCCGCGUGUAGGGGUAAAAUCCUUUGAUCCGCGGAAGACCACCAGUGGCGAAGGCGGUCCGCCAGAACGCGCUCGACGGUGAGGGAUGAAAGCUGGGGGAGCGAACCGGAUUAGAUACCCGGGUAGUCCCAGCCGUAAACGAUGCUAGCUAGAUGAUUCAUUCGCAAGUCGCGAAUGAAGUGUUGCAGGGAAGCCGUUAAGCUAGCCGCCUGGGGAGUACGGUCGCAAGACUGAAACUUAAAGGAAUUGGCGGGGGAGCA